RNAcentral lists this ribosomal RNA (751 nucleotides) under Mycoplasmopsis bovis. RNAcentral describes it as "partial 23S ribosomal RNA". It matches the Rfam family "Bacterial large subunit ribosomal RNA", at positions 529 to 1288 of the family's 2925-position model. The record is from RNAcentral. Lineage: Bacteria; Bacillati; Mycoplasmatota; Mycoplasmoidales; Metamycoplasmataceae.
GAGAGGGGAGUGAAAUAGACUCUGAAACCACUUACUUACAAUUAGUCAGAGCCCGUUAAUGGGUGAUGGCGUACAUCUUGCAGUAUGGACCGGCGAGUUACUUUAGCAUGCAAGGUUAAGCAGAUAAAAGCGGAGCCGUAGAGAAAUCGAGUCUUAAUAGGGCGAUUAGUAUGCUUGAGUACACCCGAAACCAGGUGACCUAUUCAUGAGCAGACUGAAACUUAGCUAACCCUAAGUGGAGGGUCGAACCGUAGUACACUAAAACGUGCCCGGAUGACUUGUGAAUAGCGGAGAAAUUCCAAUCGAACUUGGAGAUAGCUGGUUCUCCUCGAAAUAGCUUUAGGGCUAGCGUGUAGUGUUAAAUAAUGGUGGUAAAGCACUGAAUAUGGAAUGGCCUCGCCUAGGGGUACUGACUAUAAUCAAACUCUGAAUACCGUUAUGAAUUGCUAUGCAGUCGGAACCGGGGUGCUAACGUCCCGGCUCGCGAGGGAAACAACCCAGAUCGUCAGCUAAGGUCCCAAAAUCGUGUUAAGUCAGAAAGGUUGUGAGGUUUCAUAAACAACUAGGAAGUUGGCUUAGAAGCAGCCAUCUUUUAAAGAGUGCGUAAUAGCUCACUAGUCAAGAGACCUUGCGCCGACAAUGUAACGGGAGUAAAACACGAUACCGAAGCUACGGGUACAUUUAUGUACGUUAGAGGAGCGUUCUUAGGGCAAUGAAGCUAGACUGUAAAGACUAGUGGAGCGCUAAGAAG